This 488-nucleotide ribosomal RNA is filed under the name uncultured Propionibacterium sp. Its description in RNAcentral is "bacterial SSU rRNA". It matches the Rfam family "Bacterial small subunit ribosomal RNA", at positions 8 to 507 of the family's 1533-position model. The record is from RNAcentral. Lineage: Bacteria; Bacillati; Actinomycetota; Actinomycetes; Propionibacteriales; Propionibacteriaceae.
AGAGUUUCGAUCCUGGCUCGAGGACGACGCUGGCGGCGUGCUUAACACAUGCAAGUCGACGGAAAGGCCCUGCUUUUGUGGGGUGCUCGAGUGGCAACGGGUGAGUAACACGUGAGUAACCUGCCCUUGACUUUGGGAUAACUUCAGGAAACUGGGGCUAAUACCGGAUAGGAGCUCCUGCUGCAUGGUGGGGGUUGGAAAGUUUCGGCGGUUGGGGAUGGACUCGCGGCUUAUCAGCUUGUUGGUGGGGGUAGUGGCUUACCAAGGCUUUGACGGGUAGCCGGCCUGAGAGGGUGACCGGCCACAUUGGGACUGAGAUACGGCCCAGACUCCUACGGGAGGCAGCAGUGGGGAAUAUUGCACAAUGGGCGGAAGCCUGAUGCAGCAACGCCGCGUGCGGGAUGACGGCCUUCGGGUUGUAAACCGCUUUCGCCUGUGACGAAGCGUGAGUGACGGUAAUAGGUAAAGAAGCACCGGCUAACUACGUG